Molecule: long non-coding RNA, 217 nt
Organism: Empidonax traillii (willow flycatcher)
Lineage: Eukaryota; Metazoa; Chordata; Aves; Passeriformes; Tyrannidae
Exons: 3
Source: RefSeq, a predicted model, not a curated record
AAAGCAAUUUGUCUUUGAAAAGCCAUCAGAGGUAAAAAUUACACGGUGGAGCGCAGAGUUCCUGAGGCAGAUGUGAUAGACAAGCCUGGUGUGUAUGAGCUCAGCAAAGGACCAACUGGCAUUUCUAGGUGAGUGGCUGAAACUUGUUACUUGCUUUUGCAGAGUGAUGUGGUGAUACUCAGAUUUCUGAAGCCCAGUCUCUGCAGAGCAUUCUGAC